This 254-nucleotide ribosomal RNA is filed under the name uncultured bacterium. Its description in RNAcentral is "partial 16S ribosomal RNA". It matches the Rfam family "Bacterial small subunit ribosomal RNA", at positions 524 to 776 of the family's 1533-position model. The record is from RNAcentral.
UACGUAGGGUGCGAGCGUUGUCCGGAAUUAUUGGGCGUAAAGAGCUCGUAGGCGGUCUGUCGCGUCGAUCGUGAAAACUUGGGGCUUAACCCUGAGCUUGCGGUCGAUACGGGCAUGACUGGAGUUCGGCAGGGGAGACUGGAAUUCCUGGUGUAGCGGUGAAAUGCGCAGAUAUCAGGAGGAACACCAGUGGCGAAGGCGGGUCUCUGGGCCGUAACUGACGCUGAGGAGCGAAAGCGUGGGGAGCGAACAGG